GUGGGUAUAGCUCAGUCGGUUAGAGCGCCAGAUUGUGGAUCUGGAGGUCACGGGUUCGAGCCCCGUUAUCCACC
RNAcentral lists this transfer RNA (74 nucleotides) under Planctomycetaceae bacterium. RNAcentral describes it as "tRNA-His". It matches the Rfam family "tRNA". Rfam says of the family: Transfer RNA (tRNA) molecules are approximately 80 nucleotides in length. Lineage: Bacteria; Pseudomonadati; Planctomycetota; Planctomycetia; Planctomycetales; Planctomycetaceae. RNAcentral also lists the same sequence under 1 other name. The record is from RNAcentral.